Molecule: long non-coding RNA, 344 nt
Organism: Rhagoletis pomonella (apple maggot)
Lineage: Eukaryota; Metazoa; Arthropoda; Insecta; Diptera; Tephritidae
Exons: 3
Source: RefSeq, a predicted model, not a curated record
GUCUGGUAAUGAGUCAUGCGGUGCUUUAUUGUCAAUGAGACGAUUACAUGUAGAAUAAAUCAUUUUCUUAGUUAUAAAAUCAAUUCGCAGAAAUUUUUUAAGUGAAGUCCAGUGACGUUUGCAACUAUGUACAUAAGUACUACAUUAACAAAUCAGCACCAUCUGCAAAUCAACAAAGCGAAGGAAACAGUAUGUAAUGCAUAACCCUCUCUACAACCAUGCAGUAUGCAACAACACCAACGAAUGCGAGCAGCGGACCAUGCUUUGGACUCGACAUACAUAUGUACAUAUGUACAUACAUAUCGUCGUUCAAAGUACAAAACCGCGUAACGUCGUUCUGCAAA